GGGUAUGAGGGUGAUGUGGCUGUGAUAUCUGGCACCCCAUUAAUUGCCAAGGUCGAGUCAGAUGGCCAGGCAGGUGCCCCCGCCCCCCCGCAACUGCUCUUUGUGUAUCCCUCCCCAAGCUACACUCUCACUUGAAGAUGAUGGCCUUCCCCAAAAGAAAGACUCUCCUUUGGUUAAGGGCAUACUAGUGUCCGCACUCCCCUCUUAGAACCUCCAAACAAGCUCCCCAAAUCCCAAGAAAGGUGACCCAACAGAAUCUGUAAAUGAUAUAACUAUUGUUAUCAACAUGUAC
This 292-nucleotide small nuclear RNA is filed under the name Echinops telfairi (small Madagascar hedgehog). RNAcentral describes it as "7SK RNA (ENSETEG00000025152.1)". It matches the Rfam family "7SK RNA". From Rfam's summary of the family: 7SK was discovered as an abundant small nuclear RNA in the mid-70s but a possible function has only recently been suggested. Two independent studies have found that 7SK RNA binds the CDK9/cyclin T complex (known as elongation factor P-TEFb). The record is from RNAcentral. Lineage: Eukaryota; Metazoa; Chordata; Mammalia; Afrosoricida; Tenrecidae.